RNAcentral lists this ribosomal RNA (253 nucleotides) under uncultured bacterium. RNAcentral describes it as "partial 16S ribosomal RNA". It matches the Rfam family "Bacterial small subunit ribosomal RNA", at positions 524 to 776 of the family's 1533-position model. The record is from RNAcentral.
UACGUAGGGUGCAAGCGUUGUCCGGAAUUAUUGGGCGUAAAGAGCUCGUAGGCGGUCCGGUAAGUCCGCUGUGAAAGUCGGGGGCUCAACCCUCGAAUGCCGGUGGAUACUGUCGGGCUAGAGUGCGGAAGAGGCGAGUGGAAUUCCUGGUGUAGCGGUGAAAUGCGCAGAUAUCAGGAGGAACACCUAUUGCGAAGGCAGCUCGCUGGGACGUUACUGACGCUGAGACGCGAAAGCGUGGGGAGCAAACAGG